RNAcentral lists this ribosomal RNA (497 nucleotides) under uncultured bacterium. RNAcentral's name for it is "partial 16S ribosomal RNA". It matches the Rfam family "Bacterial small subunit ribosomal RNA", at positions 28 to 507 of the family's 1533-position model. The record is from RNAcentral.
GAUGAACGCUGGCGGCGUGCCUAAUACAUGCAAGUCGAGCGAACAGAUGAUGAGCUUGCUCCUCUAACGUUAGCGGCGGACGGGUGAGUAACACGUGGAUAACCUACCUAUAUUACUGGGAUAACUACGGGAAACAGGAGCUAAUACCGGCUAAUAUAAUGAACCGCAUGGAUCAAUAGUGAAUGACGGCUUUGCUGUCACUUAUAGAUGGAUCCGCGCCGCCUUAGCUAGUUGGUAAGGUAACGGCUUACCAAGGCAACGAUGCGUAGCCGACCUGAGAGGGUGAUCGGCCACCCUGGAACUGGGGCACGGUCCCAGCUCCUACGGGAAGCAGCAGUAGGGGAACUUCCGACAUGGGGGGAAACCUGGCGGCACAACGACGCGUGAGGGAUAAAGGGCUUCCGAUCGUUAAACUCUGUUAUUAGGGAAAAACAAAUAUGUAAGUAACUCUCCGCGUCUUGGCGGUAACUAAUCAGAUAAGCACGGCUAACUACCUU